RNAcentral lists this long non-coding RNA (737 nucleotides) under Trifolium pratense (red clover). RNAcentral describes it as "long non-coding RNA (TPRA_LNC009306)". Lineage: Eukaryota; Viridiplantae; Streptophyta; Magnoliopsida; Fabales; Fabaceae. The record is from RNAcentral.
AAUGGAACUACAACUCAUCAUGUCUUAACACAAUUUUACAAUAAAAUUACAAUUCAUCAUGUACUGCCACUAAUUUACAAAUUUCAUGCAAAGUGGUGAAUCUUGUCCUGUGAUUGAGUUAACCAAUUAGUUUAUCAGCUUGCAUUCCCAAUGAUAAGUAUCAAUCCUAAAGAAGUCGAUUGAUCUAAGCACCGCAUUCAAUGAACCAACCUAAAAAUGCAAGAAUAUUAUGGCAACUGUUACAAUGAGCUUAGCCCAUUUUUUAUCCUUAUUCCUUCAAGUUUAUCCUUAUUCCUUCAAGGCCUCAGUGAGCAUCUAUAUUCUUUCUUAGUCCAACUUUUGUAUAGUAAUCAAAUGAAUCAAUUCAAAAUUAAUCACAUGAUUUAGAAGAUUUCAUUCAUUAAAAAAAAAAAAGAACAGAUUGACAUGUACAUCUUAUACCAGUUUGCUUAAUUGAAGCACUAUGCCAAAAAGCACGUAUACUCACAUGUAGUACUAUGCACACCUCUUACAAAGAGAAAGCUUCCAAUGGUAGCACCAACACUUCAAAGAAAUGCAACCAAGUUAAUACUUCUACAACGCCCCAUGAUAAUUUAUAGUACGCAUUUUAAUGCCUCAUCAUCUAGAAUACCAAAUACAUAGACUAUCAUUCACUUAUCAAAUAAGCAUGAGUUCCUUUGGCAAAUGUCAUUGUCCAUCCGUUUUCCAAAUAAUGUUAGACUUGAACAUUUACAUUU